CCCGCUGGCCCCACCACAGACAGCUUGUGCUUUGUCCCCUGGUGCCCCCCUGUUUCAACGAAGCGCUGCCUCAGACCGGUUCGCUGCUUGGCUGUGCUGGUUAUCUGUGACUUUCAAAGGAGCCAUCCUCAAACAAAAACUGGAAACUACGGAAUCAUUAGGAUAAAAAAGCUGAUGGACGUAUCAAAUUUUUUCUGGAGGCUGGCAAGUCCAAGUCUGACUUCCUUGUUCAUGGGCAGCCAACCUCUUCCUGCGUUCGCACACGAUGGAAGGAGUAAGGGUGCUCUCUUGGACCUCUCUUAUAAAAGCACUAAUAUCAUGGGGUGCCUGGAUGGCUCAGUGGGUUAAAGCCUCUGCCUUUGGCUCAGGUCAUGAUCCCAGGA
Molecule: long non-coding RNA, 383 nt
Organism: Neogale vison (American mink)
Lineage: Eukaryota; Metazoa; Chordata; Mammalia; Carnivora; Mustelidae
Exons: 3
Source: RefSeq, a predicted model, not a curated record